AUGGGACAACACUGUCAUUUUCCUGAUUUAAAGCCUCUUCUUCAGAUUGAUUUAUUCUGCACUAAAAGCAUAUUCUCCCUAGGCUGCCCACUAGCACUUGCUUCUAACUGCUUGGGGAGAUCUCCUCUGGAGUGGCACUCUCAAGGGUGGGUAGAGCAUGCUGGAGCUCUGGCAGGCUGUGCACCAGCAGCAGCAGCGGCAGCGGCAGCAGCAGCAGCAGCAGCAGUGGCAGCUCCAGCAUUGAGGCUGAGAGCAGGAGACGGCCUGCCAGGGGAGGCGAUGAUGCCAAGAGCUGUUGUAUCAUUACAAAGCCUCUCUUUCCACUAUAAAUUAUACAUUACGUCUUGAAAUCUUAACUCUGGUGUUUCCAAACCUUUUAGAUGUCACCUGAGUGAAUUGCCACGCUUGUUUUAGUGGACAUAGAUCUUUUUAGGACAGGAUAUUUUUGUAUGAUGUGGUAAUAUGCUAAGAUAAAACUCAUAAGAAACCCUCGGGAA
Epinephelus moara (kelp grouper) is the source of this 497-nucleotide long non-coding RNA. RefSeq lists it as uncharacterized. NCBI's taxonomy places the organism in Eukaryota, Metazoa, Chordata, Actinopteri, Perciformes, Serranidae. The transcript has 2 exons. The record is from RefSeq and is a predicted model, not a curated record.